Molecule: ribosomal RNA, 121 nt
Filed under: Acipenser gueldenstaedtii (Russian sturgeon)
Lineage: Eukaryota; Metazoa; Chordata; Actinopteri; Acipenseriformes; Acipenseridae
Source: RNAcentral
AAAUGCGGCCACACCACCUUGAAUAAGCCUGAUCUCGUCUGAUCUAUGACGCUAAGCAAUGUUGGGUAUGGUUAGUACUUGGAUGGGAGACCACCUGGGAAUAUCAAGUGCUGUAGGCAUU